UCUAAACUAGUCUGCGAGCUUAGAAUUCUGUAGAUCGACUUCAGCCUCACCUGGGCAUCAUUUUUAGGACUUCUUUAUCAGCUCCUCGUCAUCUGUAAGUUUAACAACCUGUACCCUUCAUCAUGCUUACAAAUGUUUGAGCUCUUGAUAAUAACUUUCCGUUGGGGUAGGAAGAGGCAUCAUCAUCAAUGGCAAUAAUCUAGAUCAAUUUUUUUGUGUUACGUAUUAUUCAAAUAACAAAAAUGAAUGUAGUUAAUUAUAAAGGAAGGAUUACUUGAGGUAUAUCUUGAGCCAGGGGUCUAU
This 303-nucleotide long non-coding RNA is filed under the name Capsicum annuum. RNAcentral describes it as "long non-coding RNA (CANN_LNC020088)". The record is from RNAcentral. Lineage: Eukaryota; Viridiplantae; Streptophyta; Magnoliopsida; Solanales; Solanaceae.